RNAcentral lists this ribosomal RNA (472 nucleotides) under uncultured bacterium. RNAcentral's name for it is "partial 16S ribosomal RNA". It matches the Rfam family "Bacterial small subunit ribosomal RNA", at positions 30 to 507 of the family's 1533-position model. The record is from RNAcentral.
AUUGAACGCUGGCGGCAGGCCUAACACAUGCAAGUCGAGCGGGGACUUCGGUCCUAGCGGCGAACGGGUGAGUAAUGCUUGGGAAUCUGCCCAGUAGUGGGGGAUAACGUCCCGAAAGGGACGCUAAUACCGCAUACGUCCUACGGGAGAAAGAGGGGGAUCUUCGGACCUCUCGCUAUUGGAUGAGCCCAAGUCGGAUUAGCUAGUUGGUAGGGUAAUGGCCUACCAAGGCGACGAUCCGUAGCUGGUCUGAGAGGAUGAUCAGCCACACUGGAACUGAGACACGGUCCAGACUCCUACGGGAGGCAGCAGUGGGGAAUAUUGGACAAUGGGCGAAAGCCUGAUCCAGCCAUGCCGCGUGUGUGAAGAAGGCCUUCGGGUUGUAAAGCACUUUAAGCGGGGAGGAAGGUUCGCGGCCUAAUACGUCGCGGAAUUGACGUUACCCGCAGAAUAAGCACCGGCCAACUCUGUG